CCUACGGGUGGCAGCAGUAGGGAAUAUUGGUCAAUGGUGGGAAGCCUGAAGCAGCAAAGCCGCGUGAGGGAUGAAGGUUUUAAGAUUCUAAACUCCUUUUGUUCGAGGAAAUUAUACCGGUAUCUAUCGAAUAAGCACCGUCUCACUCCAUACCACAGGCCGCGGUAAUCCGGAGGUUGCCAGCGUUACUCGGAAUAACUGGGCGUAAAGAGUGCGUAGGCGGGGUAAUAAGUCAGCGGUGAAAUCCGGUAGCUUAACUACAGAACUGCAUUUGAAACUGUUACUCUGGAGUGGGAGAGAGGUAGGUGGAAGUCUUGGUGUAGGGGUAAAAUCCGUAGAGAUCAAGAGGAAUACUGAUUGCGAAGGCGACCUGCUGGAACAGUACUGACGCUGAUGCACGAAAGCGUGGGUAGCGAACAGGAUUAGAUACCCCAGUAGUC
Molecule: ribosomal RNA, 440 nt
Filed under: uncultured bacterium
Lineage: Bacteria
Description: partial 16S ribosomal RNA
Rfam family: Bacterial small subunit ribosomal RNA
Source: RNAcentral